GACGAACGCUGGCGGCGUGCCUAAUACAUGCAAGUUGAGCGCGGAAGGGUGGUACUUGUACCAACUGGAUGAGCAGCGAACGGGUGAGUAACGCGUGGGGAAUCUGCCUUUGAGCGGGGGACAACAUUUGGAAACGAAUGCUAAUACCGCAUAAAAACUUUAAACACAAGUUUUAAGUUUGAAAGAUGCAAUUGCAUCACUCAAAGAUGAUCCCGCGUUGUAUUAGCUAGUUGGUGAGGUAAAGGCUCACCAAGGCGAUGAUACAUAGCCGACCUGAGAGGGUGAUCGGCCACAUUGGGACUGAGACACGGCCCAAACUCCUACGGGAGGCAGCAGUAGGGAAUCUUCGGCAAUGGACGAAAGUCUGACCGAGCAACGCCGCGUGAGUGAAGAAGGUUUUCGGAUCGUAAAACUCUGUUGGUAGAGAAGAACGUUGGUGAGAGUGGAAAGCUCAUCAAGUGACGGUAACUACCCAGAAAGGGACGGCUAACUACGUG
RNAcentral lists this ribosomal RNA (497 nucleotides) under uncultured bacterium. RNAcentral describes it as "partial 16S ribosomal RNA". It matches the Rfam family "Bacterial small subunit ribosomal RNA", at positions 28 to 507 of the family's 1533-position model. The record is from RNAcentral.